Molecule: non-coding RNA, 89 nt
Organism: Meloidogyne enterolobii
Lineage: Eukaryota; Metazoa; Nematoda; Chromadorea; Rhabditida; Meloidogynidae
Source: the annotation of a GenBank genome assembly
AGUCGAUGCCCCGGUAGCUCAGAGGUAGAGCUCCUGCAUAUAGCGAGCGAAAAGGGGAGGUCGCAGGUUCGAAUCCUGCCCGGUGGCUA